Molecule: ribosomal RNA, 800 nt
Filed under: Arthrobacter sp.
Lineage: Bacteria; Bacillati; Actinomycetota; Actinomycetes; Micrococcales; Micrococcaceae
Description: bacterial SSU rRNA
Rfam family: Bacterial small subunit ribosomal RNA
Source: RNAcentral
CUUGCUGGGGUGAUUAGUGGCGAACGGGUGAGUAACACGUGAGUAACCUGCCCUUAACUCUGGGAUAAGCCUGGGAAACUGGGUCUAAUACCGGAUAUGACUCCUCAUCGCAUGGUGGGGGGUGGAAAGCUUUUUGUGGUUUUGGAUGGACUCGCGGCCUAUCAGCUUGUUGGUGAGGUAAUGGCUCACCAAGGCGACGACGGGUAGCCGGCCUGAGAGGGUGACCGGCCACACUGGGACUGAGACACGGCCCAGACUCCUACGGGAGGCAGCAGUGGGGAAUAUUGCACAAUGGGCGCAAGCCUGAUGCAGCGACGCCGCGUGAGGGAUGACGGCCUUCGGGUUGUAAACCUCUUUCAGUAGGGAAGAAGCGAAAGUGACGGUACCUGCAGAAGAAGCGCCGGCUAACUACGUGCCAGCAGCCGCGGUAAUACGUAGGGCGCAAGCGUUAUCCGGAAUUAUUGGGCGUAAAGAGCUCGUAGGCGGUUUGUCGCGUCUGCCGUGAAAGUCCGGGGCUCAACUCCGGAUCUGCGGUGGGUACGGGCAGACUAGAGUGAUGUAGGGGAACUGGAAUUCCUGGUGUAGCGGUGAAAUACGCAGAUUCAGGAGGAACACCGAUGGCGAAGGCAGGUCUCUGGGCAUUAACUGACGCUGAGGAGCGAAAGCAUGGGGAGCGAACAGGAUUAGAUACCCUGGUAGUCCAUGCCGUAAACGUUGGGCACUAGGUGUGGGGGACAUUCCACGUUUUCCGCGCCGUAGCUAACGCAUUAAGUGCCCCGCCUGGGGAGUACGGCCGCAAG